AGGCAGACCCGGAGAACUGAAACAUCUUAGUACCCGGAGGAAGAGAAAGAAAAAUCGAUUCCCUGAGUAGCGGCGAGCGAAACGGGAAGAGCCCAAACCAACAAGCUGGCUUGUUGGGGUUGUAGGACACUCUAUACGGAGUUACAAAAGUAUAUAUUAGACGAAUCAUCUGGAAAGUUGAAUCAAAGAAGGUAAUAAUCCUGUAGUCGAAAAUAUAUACUCUCUUGAG
This 229-nucleotide ribosomal RNA is filed under the name Staphylococcus warneri. RNAcentral's name for it is "partial 23S ribosomal RNA". It matches the Rfam family "Bacterial large subunit ribosomal RNA", at positions 177 to 401 of the family's 2925-position model. Lineage: Bacteria; Bacillati; Bacillota; Bacilli; Caryophanales; Staphylococcaceae. The record is from RNAcentral.